This 352-nucleotide unclassified non-coding RNA is filed under the name soil metagenome. RNAcentral describes it as "partial contains 5.8S ribosomal RNA, internal transcribed spacer 2, and large subunit ribosomal RNA". The stretch from base 1 to 120 matches the Rfam family "5.8S ribosomal RNA", at positions 35 to 154 of the family's 154-position model. The record is from RNAcentral.
GAUGAAGAACGUAGCGAAAAGCGAUAAGUAAUGUGAAUUGCAGAAUUCAGUGAAUCAUCGAAUCUUUGAACGCACAUUGCGCCCGCCAGUAUUCUGGCGGGCAUGCCUGUUCGAGCGUCAUUACAACCCUCAGGCCCCCGGGCCUGGCGUUGGGGAUCGGCGGAGCCCCCCGUGGGCACACGCCGUCCCCCAAAUGCAGUGGCGGUCCCGCCGCAGCUUCCAUCGCGUAGUAGCUAACACCUCGCGACUGGAGAGCGGCGCGGCCACGCCGUAAAACACCCAACUCUUCUGAAGUUGACCUCGAAUCAGGUAGGAAUACCCGCUGAACUUAAGCAUAUCAAUAAGCGGAGGA